Molecule: non-coding RNA, 825 nt
Filed under: Lerista ingrami
Lineage: Eukaryota; Metazoa; Chordata; Lepidosauria; Squamata; Scincidae
Description: partial 12S ribosomal RNA
Rfam family: Bacterial small subunit ribosomal RNA
Source: RNAcentral
CCUUGUUUUUUAUCAAAAUUAUACAUGCAAGCCUCCACACACCAGUGAGAAUGCCCAUUUUUUCCCAAACAGCUAGCCGGAGCGGGUAUCAGGAUACAACACCAACCUUUUAGCCAAAGACACCUUGCAAACGCCACACCCACACGGGCCUUCAGCAGUAAUUAACAUUAAAACAUGAGCGCAAGCUCGACUUAGUUAUGAUAAACAUGGUUGGUAAAUUUCGUGCCAGCCACCGCGGUUAUACGAAAGACCAAAAACAACGGCCCACGGCGUAAAGCGUGACUAGAGAUACCCACCUACUAAAGGGGAAUAGCGGCCAAGUUGUAAAACACUACUGCACGCUAGAACCACAAUAAAUGCUGCCUUUAGCCUCCUUUACCUCACGAAAGCUGAGAAACAAACUGGGAUUAGAUACCCCACUAUGCUCAGCCAUUAACACAGAUAAUACAAAUACAAUAUUAUCCGCCAGAGGACUACAAGCGAAAAGCUUAAAACUCUAAGGACUUGGCGGUGCUUCAAAUCAACCUAGAGGAGCCUGUCCUAUAAUCGAUACCCCACGUUUUACCUCACCUCUCCUAGCCAAACAGCCUAUAUACCGCCGUCGCCAGCUUACCCUGUGAAAGACAUAAAGUGAGCAAAAAAGUUUAAAACUAAUACGUCAGGUCAAGGUGUAGCACAUGGAGCGGAAGAGAUGGGCUACAUUUUUUCAAAGAACAAACACGAAUAGUGAGUUGAAAUACACACUUGAAGGCGGAUUUAACAGUAAUAUGGGUAAGAAAAACCAUAUUAAACCUGCUCUGAAGCGCGCACACACCGCCCGUCACC